AGGGAAAGGUGAAAAAGAACUUUUAAGAGUUAAAAGAUCCUAAAAUUUAGUGCAAUUAGCUGCUAAAGUUUUUUAAUAAAAAAUAAUAGUGUACCUUUUGCAUAAUGGGCCAGUGAGUUUAUAAUUUUGGCAAGUUUAAGUUAGAUGUAGACAAAGAUAAGUCACGUAGUUUUAAAAAGCUAGAGUCAUAAUUAUAAAACCCGAAGCUAAGUGAUCUAACCAUGAGCAGGUUGAUAAAUAUGCGGUAACGCUGUUUGAAGGACCGAACCCGUACCUGUAGAAAAAGGUUGGGAUGACUUGUGGUUAGGAGUGAAAGGCUAAUCAAAUUCGGAUAUUGCUGGUUUUCUGCGAAAUCUAUAUAAGUAGAGCGUUAUAUAAUUUGCUUUUGGGGUAGAGCACUCAAUGAAUUAGGGGGAUUUCACGUCUUACCGAGUUCAAGGAAACUCCGAAUACAAAAGUUAAAAAUAUAGCAGACAGACUUUGGGUGCUAAGAUCCUGAGUCGAGAGGGAAACAGCCCAGAUUGCUUAUUAAGGCCUCUAAAUUUUAUCUUAGUGGUAAAGGAUAUAAAUAAACAUUGACAACUAAAAGAUAGGCUUGGAAGUAGCCACUCUUUAAAGAAGGUGUAAUAACCCAUUGGUUUAGUUUAUUUAGGCCGAAAAUGUAUAGAGACUAAAGAUAAAUGCCGAAAUAGCAAACAUAAUAUAUUAUAAUAUUCAUUUUAAUGGUAUUAAUAAAAUACUAUGUGGUAGCAGAACAUUCUGUAUUAUUGCUGAAAGAUAAGCUGUGAAGUUUAUUUAAAAAUCAGAAGAGAAAAUGUUAGUAUGAGUAACGUUAAACAAUGUAUAAAUAACAUUGUCGCCGAAAAUCCAAGGUUUUCUAAGCAAGGAUAUACCGCUUACGAGUUAGACGGCCCCUAAGAAAAAAGCGAAAG
This 932-nucleotide ribosomal RNA is filed under the name Mesodinium pulex. RNAcentral describes it as "partial Bacterial large subunit ribosomal RNA". It matches the Rfam family "Bacterial large subunit ribosomal RNA", at positions 506 to 1408 of the family's 2925-position model. The record is from RNAcentral. Lineage: Eukaryota; Ciliophora; Litostomatea; Cyclotrichida; Mesodiniidae.